ACACUGAUGGUGAAGCGGUUAUCAUGCUUGCCUUCCAAUCUGAGCCAUAAGCAAGCGGCAGGGGUUCGACUCCCCUUCAGUGUA
Mycena alexandri is the source of this 84-nucleotide non-coding RNA. The record is from the annotation of a GenBank genome assembly. Lineage: Eukaryota; Fungi; Basidiomycota; Agaricomycetes; Agaricales; Mycenaceae.